ACUAUUUUGGCAGAAAAUUGUAAUGGUUUUAGAAGUCAUAUAUGUAUAUUAUAAUAAUAUAUAAAUAGUA
This 70-nucleotide transfer RNA is filed under the name Protogoniomorpha anacardii duprei. RNAcentral's name for it is "tRNA-Leu". Lineage: Eukaryota; Metazoa; Arthropoda; Insecta; Lepidoptera; Nymphalidae. The record is from RNAcentral.